UGGGGAAUUUUCCGCAAUGGGCGCAAGCCUGACGGAGCAACGCCGCGUGAGGGAGGAAGGCCUGUGGGUCGUAAACCUCUUUUCUCAGGGAAGAAUUUUUGACGGUACCUGAGGAAUCAGCAUCGGCUAACUCCGUGCCAGCAGCCGCGGUAAGACGGAGGAUGCAAGCGUUAUCCGGAAUUAUUGGGCGUAAAGCGUCCGUAGGUGGCCGUUCAAGUCUGUUGUUAAAGCCCACAGCUCAACUGUGGAUGGGCAAUGGAAACUGAAUAGCUAGAGUGUGGUAGGGGUAGAGGGAAUUCCUAGUGUAGCGGUGAAAUGCGUAGAUAUUAGGAAGAACACCAGUGGCGAAGGCGCUCUACUGGGCCAUAACUGACACUGAUGGACGAAAGCUAGGGGAGCGAAAGGGAUUAGAUACCCCCGUAGUCC
This 426-nucleotide ribosomal RNA is filed under the name uncultured prokaryote. Its description in RNAcentral is "bacterial SSU rRNA". It matches the Rfam family "Bacterial small subunit ribosomal RNA", at positions 355 to 796 of the family's 1533-position model. The record is from RNAcentral.